Molecule: long non-coding RNA, 6714 nt
Filed under: Triticum aestivum (bread wheat)
Lineage: Eukaryota; Viridiplantae; Streptophyta; Magnoliopsida; Poales; Poaceae
Description: long non-coding RNA (TAES_LNC023960)
Source: RNAcentral
UUAUUUAAAUCCGAGUUACGGUUAAUUAGUUAUGAAAUAAAUCAUUUUAACAUAUUAUUCGAGCAAAUUUAAUCAAACAACAUUUUAAGCAAUUUUAACAUGGGUGAAAGUGGCAUAUUAUUAAACUACACAAAAUUCUAAGCAUUUUACAUGUAUAAAUUAUUUUAAUCCGAUGCACGGUUUAUUAGUUAUUAAAUGCAUGAAGAACAGGGGGUUUUCUGUAAAACUGUAAUUCUCUGGAUAAAUGCGAAAAUCACAGCAGUAGAAAAAAAACACUAUGGGCCGAAUCUUGCUGCACUGUUGGGCCAACAGAGAGGAGCUGUGGGGAGCUCACCCAUGGGCCAAUCCCAGCUAAGAGGAGGUGGCCCAAUCGGCGCAGAUCUGGGCCUCGGGCGUGCUUGCGGCCCAGGAGGCUGGCCACGCUGGCGCUUGAACGGGUCAACGCUGGGGGGCUUGGCGCUGGAUCUCUGCUCCUCCCGCAGCGAGACGAAGCAGGGGCGCAGGACUUGGCGCGGGGCAGAGGCGGACUUGGGGCUCCGGCAGGAGGAACUUGAGGCGCAGGGGACGACGAGCUCGAGCAAAGGCUGGACAGGCGCGGCGCGAUGGGACGGGCGCGGGGGAGCUCUCCGGCGAGGCCGUAGCUGGGCUCGUCUGGUUCCUGUCCCUGACGAAGAGAGACAGAGAGAGGUGAGACAGAGAGAGGGGGAAGGGAAAGGAAGAGAGGGCGCGAGGGAGGCCCGGCGGCGUGACCUGGAGGUGGCCGAAGGCUUGCCGGGGUGGCCUGGUGGAUGCUCGUCGGCGGAGGGAGCGGAUCAGGGGACGUGAUGCCGGAUCCGGUGAAGAACAACGGCGGGCGGCAACGACCGAUGAUGACGACGCGAUGCUCCACACCUCCUGUGCUCAUAAACAGAGAGAGAGCUGAGAUGCAGAGAAGAGGAAAAUGGAGGAACGAGAGGGCGCGACGGGGGCUCGCCUGGGUGGCGGAGGGCGUCGGCAGGAGGAGGCAAGGUGCUGGCCUGCGAGUAAACGGCGGCGACGAGACUGACGAAGUGGCCGUCCGGGUCACGGAGCUCGUGCGCGACCAGAGGAGCUCGGGGGCUCGGGCGCGCGAGGCUGGAAGAAGCUCCGGCUGGUUGAGGUACUUGGUGACGCGGGCGCCGGGGAGAGGGACUCGGCUGCAGGAGAGGCCCGGCGGGGCAGCGCGUGGAGGAGGGCACGGGCAUGGCUGAAGUCCCGGUGGUGACUCCGGCGAGGUUGUUGCUGCUGUUGCUAGGACAGCAGGGGCAUAAGGCCAUGGGCGUUCGAACGGGGAGGCAGAAGCGGGGCGGUGCUCCAGUGGCUCAGGGACAGGAGCAGCGGCGGCAUCCAGAUGGGCUCAGCGGCUGGACGCGGGGAGGAGGCAAUGGAGAGAACAGGGAGGCGUUGGAUCGAUGGAUUGGUCCGGUGGGGAAAACGAGGUGGAGCUCGGUGGGGGGUGGAUCGGGAAGGCAGGGGAGUGCUCUGGUUGGGCAGGUGAAUCGGGAGGGAUCCCGAUGGGGAUUUGGUGAGUGGGUGGCGGCGGCAGGGGGGACAAAUGUCCUAGGAUUUAGGGUUAGGCAGAUUAUAUAGGUAGGGGAUUAGGAUAGGGGUUAACUCGGUUCGUCCGAUCGCAAACGGACGAUCGAGAAAAAUAGGUAGGGAGAGUCUAUAUAAGAAACGAUGAUGUUUUAUAGAUGUCUGGGGAUGAUCCGAAUCCAACGGUAACAACAAACCGGGUCGGGUACGGGACAACUUUCGGACGCGCCGGAGGGGAUCGCGGGCUGACGAGAGAGGUUAGUUGGUUUGACAAGAGGGAACCGAAAACACGGUUGGUCUCGGAACGGUCAACGAAGACAAGGGGAACGCGGCAACUACGAACGAAUGCAAAUUUUUAAAACAUGACGGCAACAAAGUGCCGAUGCAAUGCAAAUGAUGCGAUGAUGAAUGCAACACACAAAUAAAACACAGCUGACUCGCAAAACAAGGAAGGCAAUCGGAGCGUCGGUCUCGGGGCGUUACAACACUCCACCACUACAAGAGGAUCUUGUCCUGAGAUCUAGGAUUGCACCGGAGAGAAACGGAAGAGGAAGAGAGGAGGUAAAACUAAUUGCUUCUUUGACAAACGAGUGAAACCAAAGAACCUUGAGAGGUCGCAAAGCUUGAAGAAAUGACACGACAGAGGUGAACAAAAUUGAGAAGACUCCGGUAGAAAAGAGAGACAAGGAACACCAUGAGAACCUUGAGGUUAAGUGACACAACAGAUAUUUAAAACCACUCCGGUUAAAACAAGAUAGGGAAGGGAUAAGAAUGAUAUAAUUUGGGCAGCACUCCGACUGUAAAUGGAAGGAGCUGAACAUGAUCUACACAAGAUGAGAGGAUACUCGAUGAACUUAACAACACAUUGCCUCCGGAACUAAAGAAAGAAUGGCAACAAGGGGUAAGAAAGAUUUCAGACAGCACUCCGGUUGAUAAGGGAGGCAAAACUUGACAGAAUGGGAAGAACUUGAAAAGAGGGCACGACACUCCGGCUAAACGGAUAAGAAAGGAAAAAAUUACAUGAUCUUGACAAAACAAGAUGAUUGAUCGAAGAGAGCAAUGUCACAAUGCCUCCGGGACGCACGAAUAGAAGAUAGAUCGUCGGAAUAAGAGAACGGAGAAGGAAAUGAUAACUUCUACCACAAUUGAAUUUGGGAAGAAUCCUUAAAAGAAGGAUAGAACGGAGUUGUUGGAAAACCAACAACGAAAAGAACAAGCUUGUUGAGGGCUUAUGGAACACCUCUCAAAAUUAUGAGGUGACAACCCGCCACUAAAGGAAACCAUUGGUUUGAGUGAGAGCACCAAGGCGAUGGAAAACUUCUUUCACCAAGAGGAUAGGAGAAAACUUGGAUAAUUGAUAAGCACCAUAAUAGCAACAUUCCUUAGGGAAGGCUUUAGGUGAAACAUGACACAAUAUAAAUCCAACGAAGAGAUUAUUAUGAGUUGAAACAACUCAUGGACGAAGAAAAAUAUGAUGGGUUUAAAUAUCUCAUUCUUGACAACUUGUGAAUCAUGAAACAUGAAGAAAAUAAUCAAGAAUGACAUAACACCACCUCAAAAUAUAAGAGAGAAAGAAUUGCACUUCGGAAUGCAAGAUGAAGAAUGCUUGAACUCCUCAAAACAAAACAUGUGUUGAACACCAUGUUUAUUUUAGAGUAUAGCUUGACGGAUCUUAACUCCGAGAGAAAUCUUGAAGAACAAUUGAAGAAUGAAAGGAAUCCUUGACGAAUCACCAUGUAGAGCCUCCAUGAAGAACUCCGGUAAUAAAAGAAUGAUCAAACGAAAUGGAAAGUUGAAAAGAACCCCGGGAGAAGCCUUGCAAUGAUUUAGAUGGAGCUUUGAAAUGAUAUAAUUGAAAUAACUUGGAGCUCCGGAAAGAAAAAAGAACAAACGAGAUCAACUUUUUUUGAUGAAUCUCCGGAAUAAGGAAUUAAUCACUUGGAUGAAACAAGAAUAAGAAUUACAUUACGCGUAUCCUUCGCCACUUUAGAUUGAUGACAAGCAACGGAUUUGGCAUAGUACUUAUUCUCGUAGAAAGGAUUAAGAUAGAUAUAGCGCAAACUUGAGAAAAGUCUUCAAUGAACCACCGGUAGGAUUUGGAAACAACGAAUGAAUUGAUAUGAUAACGAGGGAAGGGAAAUCUUGAACGAACCACCGCGAGAAUCUGAAAAUCAACGAAGAUAAGAUAAAGAAAAAACACCGGGAAGAAUUAGAGAACGAAUAAAGAUACUUGAGGGGAUUUUGAUACAAGUGAACGAAUAGAUGAUGAGCUGAAUAGAGAAUACUUGAAUGAUGCACCGGUAAGAUUUGGAGAACGAGAGCUCUGAUACCAACUUGUAACACCCACGAUGCGGCUAUAUCUCCCACGUGUCGAGGCACGACUUAGAGGCAUAACCGCAUUGUGGUGUAGUCGCAAGAAGGGUCAUCUUCACAUAAUCCCAUGUAAUAAACAAGAAUGGGAUAAAGAGUUGGCUUACAAUCGCCACUUCACACAAUACAUAAAUAAAACAUACAUCAUUCAGAGAUACACACAUAGGUCCGACUACGGAACCAAAAUAAAAGAAGACAACCCAACUGCUAGAUCCCUGAUCGUCCCAACUGGGCACCACUACUGAACAACAUGAAAAGAAUCAACACAACGAACAAGAUCUUCAUCGAGCUCCCAUUUGAGCUCAGUUGCGUCACCUGCACUGGUAUCAACGGCACCUGCAACUGUUUUGGAAGUAUCUGUGAGUCACGAGGACUCAGCAAUCUCACACCCGCGAGAUCAAGACUAUUUAAUCUUAAGGGUAGGAGAGGGUAAGGUGGUGAGGUUGCAGCAGCGACUAAGCAUAUAUGGUGGCUAAAAUACGCAAAUAAGAGCGAGAAGAGAAGCAACGGAACGGUCGUGAAGCUAGCAAUGAUCAAGAAGUGAUCCUGAACUCCUACUUACAUCAAACAUAACCCAGAAACCGUAUUCACUUCCCGGACUCCGCCGAGAAGAGACCAUCACGGCUACACACGCGGUUGAUGCGUUUUAAUUAAGGUCAAGUGUCAAGUUCUCUACAACCGGAUAUUAACAAAUUCCCAUCUGCCACAUAACCGCGGGCAUGGCUCUCGAAAGUUUAUACCCUGCAGGGGUGUCCCAACUUAGCCCAUUAUAAGCUCUCACGGUCAACGAAGGAUAUUCCUUCUCCCAGGAAGACCCGAUCAGUCUCGGAAUCCCGGUUACAAGACAUUUUGACAAUGGUAAAACAAGACCAGCAAAGCCGCCCGAAUGUGCUGACAAAUCCUGAUAGGAGCUGCACAUAUCUCGUUCUCAGGGCACACUGGAUUGUCCAAGCUUCCGAUAGGCGAGCCCAGAGUUGCCCCUGGUGGCCACCGGCGACUAACGGGUUGGACCAACACUCAGAGGAGCACUGGCCCAGGGGUUUAAAAUAAAGAUGACCCUUGAGUCUGCAGAACCCAAGGGAAAAAGGCUUAGGUAGGCAAAUGGUAAAACCAAGGUUGGGCCUUGCUGGAGGAGUUUUAUUCAAAGCGAACUGUCAAGGGGGUCCGAUAAAUCACCCAACCGCGCAAGGAACGCAAAAUCAAGGAACAUAACACCGGUAUGACGGAAACUAGGGCGGCAAGAGUGGAACAAAACACCAGGCAUAAGGCCGAGCCUUCCACCCUUAACCAAGUAUAUAGAUGCAUUAAUUAAAUAAGAGAUAUUGUGAUAUCCCAACAUAAUUAUGUUCCAACAAGGAGCAAUCUUCAACUUCACCUGCAACUAACAACGCUGUAAGAGGGGCUGAGCAAAAGAGGUAACAUAGCCAAACAACGGUUUGCUAGGAAGGGUGAAAAGGUUAGGGGCUGACAUGGCAGUAUGGGAGGCAUGAUAUAGCAAGUGGUAGGUAGCGCAGCAUGGCAAUAGAACGGACAACUAGCAAGCAAAGAUAGAAGUGAUAUCGAGGGUAUGGUCAUCUUGCCUGAAAUCCCGCUAGGAAGAAGAACGAGUCCAUGAAGCAGACAAACGGACGUAGUCGAACGAAUCCUCUCAACUCCGGAACGAAACCGAAGGUAACGAGAGAGCAAACCGGAAAGAAGCAAACAACACGGUAAACACACAAUCAUAAACAUGGCAUGAUGCACAAUCAAGUAUGAUGCAUGUCCGGUUUAAAGAGGCAUGGCAUGGCAAAGUGCACAAGCAAAACUACAAGUUAAGUGGAGCUCAAUAGGCAACGAGUUGCAUAUUGACGAAACACCACAUCAAUUAUUUAGUUCUCUCUCGUUUAUGUACCCAACAAUAUUAAAUGUUAUUAACCAUGGCAAGAGAUGAAGCAUAUGAAAACUAACUAUUUAAGCAAGUUAAAUGAGGCCGGAAACAAACAACAACAAUUCCGGAAAAUCCCCAUGUGCAAUAUUUUAGAUUUGGUACUGUUCUGCCAUAAAUGCAAUUUUAUUAUUGUUAAACAGCAAAAUGAAGUGCACCAUGUUAAACUAGGCAUUUUUCUACCCCAUUUACAUAUAAAUUUUAUUUAAAUCCGAGUUACGGUUAAUUAGUUAUGAAAUAAAUCAUUUUAACAUAUUAUUCGAGCAAAUUUAAUCAAACAACAUUUUAAGCAAUUUUAACAUGGGUGAAAGUGGCAUAUUAUUAAACUACACAAAAUUCUAAGCAUUUUACAUGUAUAAAUUAUUUUAAUCCGAUGCACGGUUUAUUAGUUAUUAAAUGCAUGAAGAACAUGGGGUUUUCUGUAAAACUGUAAUUCUCUGGAUAAAUGCGAAAAUCACCGCAGCAGAAAAAAAACACUACGGGCCGAAUCUUGCUGCACUAUUGGGCCAACAGAGAGGAGCUGUGGGCAGCUCACCCAUGGGCCUAUCCCAGCUAAGAGGAGGUGGCCCAAUCGGCGCAGAUCUGGGCCUCGGGCGUGCUUGCGGCCCAGGAGGCUGGCCACGCUGGCGCUUGAACGGGUCAACGCAGGAGGGGCUUGGCGCUGGCUCUCUGCUCCUCCCGCAGCGAGACGAAGCAGGGGCGCAGGAGUUGGCGCGGGGCAGAGGCGGACUUGGGGUUCCGGCAGGAGGAACUUGAGGCGCAGGGGACGACGAGCUCGAGCAAAGGCUGGACAGGCGCGGCGCGAUGGGACGGGCACGGGGGAGCUCUCCGGCGAGGCCGCAGCUGGGCUCGUCUGGUUCCUGUCC